RNAcentral lists this ribosomal RNA (440 nucleotides) under uncultured Flavobacterium sp. RNAcentral's name for it is "bacterial SSU rRNA". It matches the Rfam family "Bacterial small subunit ribosomal RNA", at positions 348 to 785 of the family's 1533-position model. The record is from RNAcentral. Lineage: Bacteria; Pseudomonadati; Bacteroidota; Flavobacteriia; Flavobacteriales; Flavobacteriaceae.
GCAGCAGUGAGGAAUAUUGGACAAUGGGCGCAAGCCUGAUCCAGCCAUGCCGCGUGCAGGAUGACGGUCCUAUGGAUUGUAAACUGCUUUUAUACGAGAAGAAACACUCCAACGUGUUGGAGCUUGACGGUAUCGUAAGAAUAAGGAUCGGCUAACUCCGUGCCAGCAGCCGCGGUAAUACGGAGGAUCCAAGCGUUAUCCGGAAUCAUUGGGUUUAAAGGGUCCGUAGGCGGUUUGGUAAGUCAGUGGUGAAAGCCCAUCGCUCAACGGUGGAACGGCCAUUGAUACUGCCAGACUUGAAUUAUUAGGAAGUAACUAGAAUAUGUAGUGUAGCGGUGAAAUGCUUAGAGAUUACAUGGAAUACCAAUUGCGAAGGCAGGUUACUACUAAUGGAUUGACGCUGAUGGACGAAAGCGUGGGUAGCGAACAGGAUUAGAUAC